Non-coding RNA from Gossypium raimondii (Peruvian cotton), 150 nucleotides. The record is from Rfam. Lineage: Eukaryota; Viridiplantae; Streptophyta; Magnoliopsida; Malvales; Malvaceae.
UGUUAAAAAUUUUCAUCCAUUUGUACUGUUAAAGACUGCCGUAGUUGACGAAAUUAAUUGAUCAAAGAGUAACAUAUGGCAUGCCACGUGCACCUCAUGUUGAGGUACAUAAAUCAGUUUUAACAGUAGAAAUGAAUGAAAUUUUUAACA